GUGAACGCUGGCGGUAGGCCUAACACAUGCAAGUCGAACGGCAGCACAGUAAGAGCUUGCUCUUCCGGGUGGCGAGUGGCGGACGGGUGAGGAAUACAUCGGAAUCUACUUUUUUGUGGGGGAUAACGUAGGGAAACUUACGCUAAUACCGCAUACGACCUACGGGUGAAAGCAGGGGAUCUUCGGACCUUGCGCGAUUGAAUGAGCCGAUGUCGGAUUAGCUAGUUGGCGGGGUAAAGGCCCACCAAGGCGACGAUCCGUAGCUGGUCUGAGAGGAUGAUCAGCCACACUGGAACUGAGACACGGUCCAGACUCCUACGGGAGGCAGCAGUGGGGAAUAUUGGACAAUGGGCGCAAGCCUGAUCCAGCCAUACCGCGUGGGUGAAGAAGGCCUUCGGGUUGUAAAGCCCUUUUGUUGGGAAAGAAAAGCAGCAGGUUAAUACCCCGCUGUUCUGACGGUACCCAAAGAAUAAGCACCGGCUAACUUCGUG
Molecule: ribosomal RNA, 491 nt
Filed under: uncultured bacterium
Lineage: Bacteria
Description: partial 16S ribosomal RNA
Rfam family: Bacterial small subunit ribosomal RNA
Source: RNAcentral